RNAcentral lists this long non-coding RNA (291 nucleotides) under Capsicum annuum. Its description in RNAcentral is "long non-coding RNA (CANN_LNC002818)". The record is from RNAcentral. Lineage: Eukaryota; Viridiplantae; Streptophyta; Magnoliopsida; Solanales; Solanaceae.
GGGUGAAAUGCAUAAGUAAAACAUCAUCUAAUCAUCAUAAUUUAUAGCACAAUGCAUGCUAAAUGUAAAUGACUCACAUAAGUUGGAAUAUCUGAAAUACUAAAAUAUGAAAUCAUGAAUAGCAAAACAUACUUUAUAAAUCUAGUGCGUCAUAACAUUUAGUUCUAAAAGCUGCACUAAUGUUCUGUUUGGAAAUCAUGUUGUCUAAGUGUAAAAGGACUCACUUCUAUAUCUGAAAUUUGAAAGCUAAAAUCUGUAGCUAAUAUCGUUCUGUAAAGCAUAAUCUGAAUA